CUAACACAUGCAAGUCGAACGAAGUAGCAAUACUUAGUGGCAGACGGGUGAGUAACAUGUAGGUAUCUACCCUUUGGCCUGGAAUAACACGAGGAAACUUGUGCUAAUACCGGAUAAGUCUUUACGGAGAAAGCUUUAUGCACCAUUGGAUGAGCCUGCACUUGAUUAGUUUGUUGGUAAGGUAAAAGCUUACCAAGGCAACGAUCAAUAGCUGUUCUUAGAGGAAGACCAGCCACAUUGGGACUGAGACACGGCCCAGACUCCUACGGGAGGCAGCAGUGGGGAAUCUUGCACAAUGGGGGAAACCCUGAUGCAGCGAUGCCGCGCGAGUGAAGAAGGCCCUUGGGUUGUAAAACUCUUUCGUCGGGGAAGAAAAUGACUGUACCCGAAUAAGAAGGUCCGGCUAACUUCGUGCCAGCAGCCGCGGUAAUACGAAGGGACCUAGCGUAGUUCGGAAUUACUGGGCUUAAAGAGCUCGUAGGUGGUUAAAAAAGUUGAUGGUGAAAUCCCA
This 511-nucleotide ribosomal RNA is filed under the name uncultured bacterium. RNAcentral describes it as "bacterial SSU rRNA". It matches the Rfam family "Bacterial small subunit ribosomal RNA", at positions 48 to 604 of the family's 1533-position model. The record is from RNAcentral.